Long non-coding RNA from Lutra lutra (Eurasian river otter), 821 nucleotides. RefSeq lists it as uncharacterized. The record is from RefSeq and is a predicted model, not a curated record. The transcript has 3 exons. NCBI's taxonomy places the organism in Eukaryota, Metazoa, Chordata, Mammalia, Carnivora, Mustelidae.
GGGAUGGAGAACCCAGAUUCCUUUCUGAUAAUGAGAUAAGAGCCAAGGAUGACAAACUCACCCCAGCCGAUCUUCAUGUCGAACACUUGAUUUGAGCAUCUAAAAUUCAGGAUCUAAGCUGCAUUAUGCAACUUCUGAGUGCCAGAGCAAUAGGAGAAAGCACUCAGGAUUUCUGGGAAUAAGACACUGGAAACCACUGGGUCCUGAAUAACCCACUGAGGGCCACUCUGAGUUUUGCUUUACUUCUUUCCUCUCCUGUUUUUCUUUGGAAAUGGCUCAAGAAAAGUUUUUGGCAAGAAGCCUGAGAUGGUAGGAGGUAUGGACAUACCUUGGAGAUAUUGUGGGUUUGGUUCCAGACUAUCACAAUAAGUAUAUAUUGCAAUAAAGCAAGUCUAAUGAUUUUUUUUUUACUUCCCAGUGCAUAUAAAAGUUAUGUUUACACUAUUCUGUAGUUUAUUAAGCGUAACAUAGCGUUAUCUCUAAAAAACCCCAAUAUGCAUAAUUUAAUUUAAAAAUACUCCAUUGGGUUAAAAAAAAAAAACCACUAGUAAUAAUAACCAUCCCUUUCCAGAAAGUCAUCAGUUUUUUGCUGGUGGAGGGUCAUGCCUCUCUGUUGUUAGCUGCUGACUGAUCAGGAUGGUAGUUCCUGAAAGUUGGGGUAACCGUGACAAUUUCUUAAAAUAACACAACAAUGAAGUUUGCUGAAUUGAUUGAUUCCUCCUUUCACAAAUAAUUUUUCUGUAGCAUGUGAUUAUGCUUGAUAUCAUUUUAUCCACAGUAUAACUUCUUUCAAAUAUUAGCAAUAAAUAAGGUUUGUUUUC